Molecule: ribosomal RNA, 497 nt
Filed under: uncultured bacterium
Lineage: Bacteria
Description: partial 16S ribosomal RNA
Rfam family: Bacterial small subunit ribosomal RNA
Source: RNAcentral
GAUGAACGCUGGCGGCGUGCCUAAUACAUGCAAGUCGAGCGAACAGACGAGGAGCUUGCUCCUCUGACGUUAGCGGCGGACGGGUGAGUAACACGUGGAUAACCUACCUAUAAGACUGGGAUAACUUCGGGAAACCGGAGCUAAUACCGGAUAAUAUAUUGAACCGCAUGGUUCAAUAGUGAAAGACGGUUUUGCUGUCCCUUAUAGCUGGAUCCGCGCCGCAUUAGCUAGUUGGUAAGGUAACGGCUUACCAAGGCGACGAUGCGUAGCCGACCUGAGAGGGUGAUCGGCCACACUGGAACUGAGACACGGUCCAGACUCCUACGGGAGGCAGCAGUAGGGAAUCUUCCGCAAUGGGCGAAAGCCUGACGGAGCAACGCCGCGUGAGUGAUGAAGGUCUUCGGAUCGUAAAACUCUGUUAUUAGGGAAGAACAAAUGUGUAAGUAACUAUGCACGUCUUGACGGUACCUAAUCAGAAAGCCACGGCUAACUACGUG